RNAcentral lists this long non-coding RNA (648 nucleotides) under Salmo salar (Atlantic salmon). RNAcentral's name for it is "lncRNA (ENSSSAG00000107502.1)". The record is from RNAcentral. Lineage: Eukaryota; Metazoa; Chordata; Actinopteri; Salmoniformes; Salmonidae.
CCCUGAUGGAAAUGAAGAAUACAUGACCAGGACAGUGGAGGACGGCCCUGACGGGAAAUGGAAGAUGUGGUGGAAAUGAAGAAUAAAUGCUGCUCCAUCCUACAAAGAAUGUCCACUGUGUUGUUACCAGAUGCUGAGACGGUACAACCUGCUGACUGAUGCAUACCAUAUCAUCAGCCUUGGAUACAAGUUCCUACUCACCCUCUCAGUUACCCAGGUAGAUCCUACUCACCCUCUCAGUUACCCAGGUAGUUCCUACUCACCCUCAGUUACCCAGGUAGUUCCUACUCACCUUCUGUUACCCAGGUAGAUCCUACUCACCCUCAGUUACCCAGGUAGUUCCUACUCACCCUCUCAGUUACCCAGGUAGAUCCUACUCACCCUCUCAGUUACCCAGGUAGAUCCUGCUCACCCUCUGUUACCCAGGUAGUUCCUACUCACCCUCUCAGUUACCCAGCUAGAUCCUACUCACCCUCUGUUACCCAAGUAGUUCCUACUCACCCUCUCAGUUACCCAGGUAGUUCCCACUCACCCUCUCAGUUACCCAGGUAGAUCCUACUCACCCUCUCAGUUACCCAGGUAGCUUGUGAAUGAAGUUUCUCUACCUUAAAGUAUAUCAAGAGCAGGGGCUGGUAGUGAUGUAGCUAG